UGCGUAGGCGGAUAAAUAAGUCAGUGGUGAAAUCUUUCGGCUCAACCGGGAAACUGCCAUUGAUACUGUUUAUCUUGAGUUCGGUAGAGGUAGGCGGAAUGUGUAAUGUAGCGGUGAAAUGCUUAGAUAUUACACAGAACACCAAUUGCGUAGGCAGCUUACUAGACCGACACUGACGCUGAGGCACGAAAGCGUGGGGAGCGAACAGGAUUAGAUACCCUGGUAGUC
This 228-nucleotide ribosomal RNA is filed under the name uncultured bacterium. Its description in RNAcentral is "partial 16S ribosomal RNA". It matches the Rfam family "Bacterial small subunit ribosomal RNA", at positions 568 to 795 of the family's 1533-position model. The record is from RNAcentral.